UUGGUGGUUAGUAGAAUUAAGACU
This 24-nucleotide microRNA is filed under the name Lotus japonicus. RNAcentral's name for it is "lja-miR11178-3p". Lineage: Eukaryota; Viridiplantae; Streptophyta; Magnoliopsida; Fabales; Fabaceae. The record is from miRBase by way of RNAcentral.